UGAAAAUAACAAAAUACCACGCGACAAUGAAGGUGUUAAGAAACCAGGAAUUUCAGUCUAUAAAGCAUACGUGAAUGCCGGAGCAGGACUUUUCUUCAAAAUCGUUAUUUUAUCCGCGCUAAUUAUAUCGCAAUCCGUUACUAGUGCCAGCGACUACUGGCUAAUCAAAUGGCUGCAAGAUAUUAGAAUCUAUAGCCAAAACGAAGACAAUCUGGAAAAUAUGACAUUUAAUAAAAGUUUUUUUAACGAAAUUAAAAACAAUAGUUUUUAUUAUAGUAAAUAUUUCGACAUGUAUGUUUAUGUAGGAUUGAUAUGUGCUGUAUUUCUAACGUCGUUACCUUCCGGAUUAUUGUUAUGGAAAUUUUUUACAGCUGCUUCUUUCAAGCUUCACAACAAUAUGUUUCGUUGUAUCAUUCGAACUCCGAUAGCAUUUUUGGAUAACAAUCCCAUUGG
Centruroides sculpturatus (bark scorpion) is the source of this 453-nucleotide long non-coding RNA. RefSeq lists it as uncharacterized. Lineage: Eukaryota; Metazoa; Arthropoda; Arachnida; Scorpiones; Buthidae. The transcript has 2 exons. The record is from RefSeq and is a predicted model, not a curated record.